CCAGCAGGCCACCUUAUCGCCGUGUACUGAACUUGUUUCAGUGCCUUCAUAGGAAUCACACCGAUUCCCUUGGAGGUCCCAGAUCAAGUCUGGGACAAGGAGGAAAGUCCGGACACCGUAGUGCGGCAUAGCGGGUAACGCCCGUCCGCCGAAAGGCGAGGACCAGUGCAACAGAAAGCAAGUACAGUUCGGCUGUAGUGAAAUCAGGUAAACUCUAUGCGGUGAAACGUCAUGUAAACCAAUGUUUGAGGGCUGCACGCCCAAGUUGGAGGGUAGGCGGUUGGAACACUUGGGCAACCAUUUGUCUAGAUAAAUGAUAAGGACUCCCAAAGUUAAUUUGGGAUGCACAGAAUCCGGCUUAUGGCCUGCUUUUAUU
RNAcentral lists this RNase P RNA (376 nucleotides) under Allomuricauda sp. RNAcentral's name for it is "RNase P RNA component class A". It matches the Rfam family "Bacterial RNase P class A". Rfam says of the family: Ribonuclease P (RNase P) is a ubiquitous endoribonuclease, found in archaea, bacteria and eukarya as well as chloroplasts and mitochondria. Its best characterised activity is the generation of mature 5'-ends of tRNAs by cleaving the 5'-leader elements of precursor-tRNAs. The record is from RNAcentral. Lineage: Bacteria; Pseudomonadati; Bacteroidota; Flavobacteriia; Flavobacteriales; Flavobacteriaceae.